UUUUAAAAAAUUUUUUUAGGCUUGUCAGUUUCUAUUAUUGGUUUGGAAAAAGCUUUGCAUCAGUACACGUUAGAACCUUCAGAAUUGCCCUUCGAUAUCAAAACUGUGCCUGUGGCUACUCAACCUUUGAUAGAAGAUAAGAAAGCUGAUGUUCCAAUCAUUGGGAAGUCCAAAGAUAAAGUUGCUGCUUCACGUCAAGAUAUAUUCGCAGAUCAAUUGUCAGCUGUUCCGGAACUCUCUUCAUUGAACUUGGGUCCAUUGUUUAAAUCUUCUCUUCCUAUUGAACUUACUGAAUCUGAGACUGAGUUUGUUGUUAGAUGCAUUAAACACACAUUCACUAGCCACAUUGUGUUGCAGGUAAGAAAA
This is a non-coding RNA of Parasteatoda tepidariorum (common house spider), 366 nucleotides long. Lineage: Eukaryota; Metazoa; Arthropoda; Arachnida; Araneae; Theridiidae. The record is from RefSeq and is a predicted model, not a curated record.